This 311-nucleotide long non-coding RNA is filed under the name Nicotiana benthamiana. RNAcentral's name for it is "long non-coding RNA (NBEN_LNC033437)". The record is from RNAcentral. Lineage: Eukaryota; Viridiplantae; Streptophyta; Magnoliopsida; Solanales; Solanaceae.
GAAAAAAAGAGAGAGCGUUGAGAGAAUCGGUAUGGUCAUAGCAACAUCCUUCUUAUUACAGCACAAACCACAAAAAAGGAAUUGCCUAUAGAGAGGAAGUAGGCUUUAGACAAAAAGUGCCUCUUGUGCCCCUAGUAGGGAAAGCAGCUGAGAUAGAGAGAGCAGCUCUCCCUUAAAGUCCUUUAUAGAUUUCUAGUCGGGAAUAGAGCUGUGGCUUAGAUCCCCUGAUCGAGUAAUGGGCUUUGUUUUUCUCUCGUUCACGUUGAUAGCCCCGGUUCAGUUCAAGCUGCUGCGAAAGAAUUUGUCGAAGU